AAAAAAUCUGGAGAACACCUCCCAAAAAAAAAUCAGGAAGGGCCCCAAAAAUAUCGGGGGGACCCCAAAAAAUUCCCCAAAUUUUCCACCGAGGCCUUGGCACCCCAAAAUUUACCCUGAGGGGCAAAAUUUGGGAGGGAGCCCCCUAAAAAAUCAGAAUUUUCCCCGAAAAUCCCCAAAUUUGGGUUGUUUUGGGGUUUUCUUUGUGCUGGAUUUGAAUGGGGGACCCCAAAAUUUGACACCUCAAAUUUGUCACCCAGGUGUUAUUUCCCAGCGUUUUGGGGUGAUUUCUCAUCAUUUUGGGGUCAUUCCUGACCACUUUGGCCUCCUUGCCACCACCCCGGUGGUCACUCCCUCAGUGUCCAGCAGCGUCCAGGUGUCCGGCGGUCACUCCCCACAAUUUUGGGGUCACUUCGAGUCACUUCAGGGGUCACUUCAUGUCCCUUUGGUGGUCACUUCGUGGUCACUUCGCCCUCCUUGUCCCCCCUCAAUGUCCAGCGGUCACUCCCCACCACUCUGGGGUCACUCUCCACCAUUUUGGGGUCACUUCGAGCCACUUCAGGGGUCACUCUGUGCCACUCUGGUGGUCACUUUGUGGUCACUUCGCCCCCAGGCCAGUGGUCACCGCCUCAAUGUCCAGCGGUCACUCCCCACGAUUUUGGGGACACUUUGUGCCACUUUGGGGUCACUUUGUGCCACUCUGGUGGUCACUCUGUGGUCACGUCACCCUUCUU
RNAcentral lists this long non-coding RNA (734 nucleotides) under Junco hyemalis (dark-eyed junco). Its description in RNAcentral is "lncRNA (ENSJHYG00000010808.1)". The record is from RNAcentral. Lineage: Eukaryota; Metazoa; Chordata; Aves; Passeriformes; Passerellidae.